This 492-nucleotide ribosomal RNA is filed under the name uncultured bacterium. Its description in RNAcentral is "partial 16S ribosomal RNA". It matches the Rfam family "Bacterial small subunit ribosomal RNA", at positions 29 to 507 of the family's 1533-position model. The record is from RNAcentral.
AGUGAACGCUGGCGGCAGGCCUAACACAUGCAAGUCGAACGGCAGCACAGUAGGUGGUUGCUGGUACGGGUGGCGAACGGGGGAAGGGUUAGGUAGGCACCGGAAUUUACUUGUUCGUUGGGGCUAACAUAGGGUAAUUUAUGCCGAUACCGCAUUCGACCUACGGGUGAAAGCCGGGGAUCUUUGGACCUUGCGGGUUUGAAUGUGGCGAAGUCGGAUUAGCUAGUGGGCGGGGUAAAGGCCUACCAAGGCGACGAUCCGUAGCUGGUCUGAGAGGAUGAUCAGCCACACUGGGACUGAGACACGGCCCAGACUCUUACGGGAGGCAGCAGUGGGGAAUAUUGGACAAUGGGCGCAAGCCUGAUCCAGCCAUACCGCGUGGGUGAAGAAGGCCUUCGGGUUGUAAAGCGCUUUUGUUCGGAAAGAAAUGCAGCACUUUAAUACGGCGCGGUUAUGACGGUACCCGAAGAAUAAGCACCGGCUAACUUCGUG